UUAGAGUUUGAUCAUGGCUCAGGACGAACGCUGGCGGCGUGCCUAAUACAUGCAAGUCGAACGCGUCCCGGUUGAUGAAGUUGAGUGCUUGCACUUGAUUGAUUCAACUUGGUGACGAGUGGCGAACUGGUGAGUAACACGUGGGUAACCUGCCCCGAAGCGGGGGAUAACAUUUGGAAACAGGUGCUAAUACCGCAUAACAACCAAAACCACCUGGUUUUGGUUUGAAAGACGGCUUCGGCUGUCACUUUGGGAUUGACCCGCGGCGUAUUAGCUAGUUGGUGAGGUAACGGCUCACCAAGGCGAUGAUACGUAGCCGACCUGAGAGGGUAAUCGGCCACAUUGGGACUGAGACACGGCCCAAACUCCUACGGGAGGCAGCAGUAGGGAAUCUUCCACAAUGGACGCAAGUCUGAUGGAGCAACGCCGCGUGAGUGAUGAAGGGUUUCGGCUCGUAAAACUCUGUUGUUGGAGAAGAACGGGUGUCAGAGUAACUGUUGACAUCGUGACGGUAUCCAACCAGAAAGCCACGGCUAACUACGUGCCAGCAGCCGCGGUAAUACGUAGGUGGCAAGCGUUGUCCGGAUUUAUUGGGCGUAAAGCGAGCGCAGGCGGUUUUUUAGGUCUGAUGUGAAAGCCUUCGGCUUAACCGGAGAAGUGCAUCGGAAACCGGGAAACUUGAGUGCAGAAGAGGACAGUGGAACUCCAUGUGUAGCGGUGAAAUGCGUAGAUAUAUGGAAGAACACCAGUGGCGAAGGCGGCUGUCUGGUCUGCAACUGACGCUGAGGCUCGAAAGCAUGGGUAGCGAACAGAAUUAGAUACCCUGGUAGUCCAUGCCGUAAACGAUGAGUGCUAAGUGUUGGAGGGUUUCCGCCCUUCAGUGCUGCAGCUAACGCAUUAAGCACUCCGCCUGGGGAGUACGACCGCAAGGUUGAAACUCAAAGGAAUUGACGGGGGCCCGCACAACCGGUGGAGCAUGUGGUUUAAUUCGAUGCUACGCAAAGAACCUUACCAAGUCU
This 1019-nucleotide ribosomal RNA is filed under the name uncultured bacterium. Its description in RNAcentral is "bacterial SSU rRNA". It matches the Rfam family "Bacterial small subunit ribosomal RNA", at positions 1 to 981 of the family's 1533-position model. The record is from RNAcentral.